This 21-nucleotide non-coding RNA is filed under the name Caenorhabditis elegans. The record is from RNAcentral. Lineage: Eukaryota; Metazoa; Nematoda; Chromadorea; Rhabditida; Rhabditidae.
UAGACGAUUCAUUCCUUAAAA